Molecule: ribosomal RNA, 454 nt
Filed under: uncultured bacterium
Lineage: Bacteria
Description: partial 16S ribosomal RNA
Rfam family: Bacterial small subunit ribosomal RNA
Source: RNAcentral
GAUGAACGCUGACAGAAUGCUUAACACAUGCAAGUCUACUUGAACUUCGGUUUGGGUGGCGGACGGGUGAGUAACGCGUAAAGAACUUGCCUCACAGUUAGGGACAACAUUUGGAAACGAAUGCUAAUACCUGAUAUUAUGAUUUUAGGGCAUCCUAAAAUUAUGAAAGCUAUAUGCGCUGUGAGAGAGCUUUGCGUCCCAUUAGCUAGUUGGAGAGGUAACGGCUCACCAAGGCGAUGAUGGGUAGCCGGCCUGAGAGGGUGAACGGCCACAAGGGGACUGAGACACGGCCCUUACUCCUACGGGAGGCAGCAGUGGGGAAUAUUGGACAAUGGACCAAAAGUCUGAUCCAGCAAUUCUGUGUGCACGAUGACGUUUUUCGGAAUGUAAAGUGCUUUCAGUUGGGAAGAAAAAAAUGACGGUACCAACAGAAGAAGUGACGGCUAACUACGUG